AAUGGUCCUCGGUAGUGGUUUCCGCAGAGCGCGAUUAAAUUCGCUUGCGUUGCGUGAACUUCGAUCGAAGAUUCAUU
Molecule: non-coding RNA, 77 nt
Submitted as: unclassified sequences
Source: Rfam